Molecule: ribosomal RNA, 473 nt
Filed under: Langona sp. 1 MC-2017
Lineage: Eukaryota; Metazoa; Arthropoda; Arachnida; Araneae; Salticidae
Description: partial 16S ribosomal RNA
Rfam family: Archaeal large subunit ribosomal RNA
Source: RNAcentral
CGCCUGUUUAUCAAAAACAUUUCUAUUAGAACUAAUUAAUAGUAAAAUCUGCCCACUGUAAAUAUAAAGAGCCGCAAUAUGUGCUAAGGUAGCAUAAUCAUUUGUCUUUUAAAUGAAGACUUGAACAAAAGAUUAAACAUUUCAAUUUAUUUUAAUAAUUUAAUUUUCAAAUUUUUCUUAAAUGUUAUAAGACAUUUAUAAAAAAGAAAGACGACAAGACCCUAUUGAACUUUACUGUAGUUUAACUGGGGCAGUUAUUUAAUUAAUACUUUAAUUUUAAUAUUUCCAUUUUUAUCCAAAAAAAUUGAAUAAUCUAGUUACCAUAGGGAUAACAGCAUAAUUAUUUUUUAAAGUUCUUAUAUAAAAUAUAGAUUGUGACCUCGAUGUUGAAUUAAUAACCUAACUAAAGCAAGAUUUAUUAAAGGAAGUCUGUUCGACUUUUAAAAAAUUACGUGAUCUGAGUUCAGACCGGA